AUAAUUAAAUCACAUGACGGCAGGUAAUAUGGCACUGUAAAUGAUAUCAU
RNAcentral lists this non-coding RNA (50 nucleotides) under Trypanosoma brucei brucei. Lineage: Eukaryota; Euglenozoa; Kinetoplastea; Trypanosomatida; Trypanosomatidae. The record is from RNAcentral.